This 482-nucleotide ribosomal RNA is filed under the name uncultured bacterium. RNAcentral's name for it is "partial 16S ribosomal RNA". It matches the Rfam family "Bacterial small subunit ribosomal RNA", at positions 30 to 507 of the family's 1533-position model. The record is from RNAcentral.
AUUGAACGCUGGCGGCAUGCCUUACACAUGCAAGUCGAACGGUAACGGGCCUUCGGGUGCCGCCGAGUGGCGAACGGGUGAGUAAUACAUCGGAACGUGCCCGAUCGUGGGGGAUAACGAGGCGAAAGCUUUGCUAAUACCGCAUACGAUCUACGGAUGAAAGCAGGGGACCGCAAGGCCUUGCGCGGACGGAGCGGCCGAUGGCAGAUUAGGUAGUUGGUGGGAUAAAAGCUUACCAAGCCGACGAUCUGUAGCUGGUCUGAGAGGAUGAUCAGCCACACUGGGACUGAGACACGGCCCAGACUCCUACGGGAGGCAGCAGUGUGGAAUUUUGGACAAUGGGCGCAAGCCUGAUCCAGCCAUGCCGCGUGCAGGAUGAAGGCCUUCGGGUUGUAAACUGCUUUUGUACGGAACGAAAAGCCUUCUUUUAAUACAGGAGGGUCAUGACGGUACCGUAAGAAUAAGCACCGGCUAACUACGUG